RNAcentral lists this ribosomal RNA (497 nucleotides) under uncultured bacterium. RNAcentral describes it as "partial 16S ribosomal RNA". It matches the Rfam family "Bacterial small subunit ribosomal RNA", at positions 28 to 507 of the family's 1533-position model. The record is from RNAcentral.
GAUGAACGCUGGCGGCGUGCCUAAUACAUGCAAGUCGAGCGAACAGACGAGGAGCUUGCUCCUCUGACGUUAGCGGCGGACGGGUGAGUAACACGUGGAUAACCUACCUAUAAGACUGGGAUAACUUCGGGAAACCGGAGCUAAUACCGGAUAAUAUAUUGAACCGCAUGGUUCAAUAGUGAAAGACGGUUUUGCUGUCACUUAUAGAUGGAUCCGCGCCGCAUUAGCUAGUUGGUAAGGGAACGGCUUACCAAGGCAACGAUGCGUAGCCGACCUGAGAGGGUGAUCGGCCACACUGGAACUGAGACAGGGUCCAGACACCUACGGGAGGCAGCAGCAGGGAAUCUUCCGCAAUGGGGGAGAGCCUGACGGAGCACCGCCGCGUGAGGGAUGAAGGUCUUCGGAUCGGAAAACUCUGUUAUUAGGGAAGAAGAAAUGUGUAAGUAACUAUGCACAUCUUGACGGUACCUGAUCAGAAAGCCACGGCUAACUACGUG